UAACCUGCCCAAGAGAUCGGGAUAACACCUGGAAACAGAUGCUAAUACCGGAUAACAACAGAUGAUGCUUAUCAACUGUUUAAAAGAUGGUUCUGCUAUCACUCUUGGAUGGACCUGCGGUGCAUUAGCUAGUUGGUAGGGUAACGGCCUACCAAGGCGAUGAUGCAUAGCCGAGUUGAGAGACUGAUCGGCCACAUUGGGACUGAGACACGGCCCAAACUCCUACGGGAGGCAGCAGGC
This 240-nucleotide ribosomal RNA is filed under the name uncultured Lactobacillus sp. RNAcentral's name for it is "partial 16S ribosomal RNA". It matches the Rfam family "Bacterial small subunit ribosomal RNA", at positions 122 to 354 of the family's 1533-position model. The record is from RNAcentral. Lineage: Bacteria; Bacillati; Bacillota; Bacilli; Lactobacillales; Lactobacillaceae.